UCCCAAGUUCAAUUCUCCUUUUUUUCUCUCCAUAUAUUUCUCAUGUUUUAGCAAUCGCUAAGAUUAGAAAUAGACUGAAUACCGGGCCCAUCUUCUAUUCUUUAACUACAACUUGACUAAUUCUAGCCGUAACUGUUAGAAAUCGAAAAGAGCGAAAGAAAGCUCGUUUUGGCAUCCAUUGCAACCUGUUAAUCAAGAUGAGCCUCUUCCAUAGAACCUACCCCCUAGAUUCCAAUAAUAUUCUCGUGGCGAGUGCAGAAGUGUUCUUGAUUUACAAUGUGGCGAGUGACUGCAUCUUUUAUCAAUUCCCUUACAUCUACGGUAGCCCGAAAGGACGUGGCCAGCGCCGUUUGUUAACCCUCCUAGAGCUUUUGAACUGAGCACAUUGAGGUGCUCAGCGCAAAUCCCAUGUCCUAGCCACUGGCUCUCUAUGCAAUUGCGAUUGUGCUGGUAAAACACGGAGUAGCAACUACGACAUGUAAGGUUAUCAUGCUCAUGCUCUACUUUGUUAAUGCAGUUUUCUUCUCAUAAGACAAGAACCUCGACUAAUUCUAUUCGCUUUUGAAGCGAAACAUCGUGAUUUCGCAUAAAUUAAAACUCAAGCAUAAUCCAUUUCCUCAAAUUUGCGAGCAAGUUAUCCAAAACAUUUGGACUCCAAUAUUAAGAUCUGUAACCGUCGGUUCCAUUAUUAACUUGUGGCUCCUCCACAAUUCCAAAAUACUCCAAUCACCCAAAACAAUAUACGCCUCAAUCAAAACAAAUAUCCCAUCCGAAUGAGAUAGUUGGCACUCACGCAGUGACUUGGUGUGUGAGCUGAGCCUGUCUCACUCUCACGGCGAUCUGUCAUGCUAGAGUGACAGCUCAUAUUCGUGCGGUGUGAACCGGCCUUUAUCAGCCAAUGAUGGUUCCAGCCCACAGGUGGAGCGUUAAUAGCGCAAAUACAGGCUGCGGAAAUGCGAAAAGCAUAAAUUUAUUUACCUUAGAUUCUGGGUUUCCUAUAAAUAGGAAAUAAAUCCCAGAAUCGUUCUCUUUUGGCUGGUGAAUCUAGAACGGUCUAGAAGUGCGCGCGUGUGUAGAUUUUUAUUAGAUAGAGGUGUUAGUCAGUUAGUUAAAACGGCUAACUAUAGUACGUCGAAUUAAAAUUGUGUUAGUAAAAGUUAUCAUUGUAAAAAUCUGACUCUUAAAAGUUAAUUGAACGAACACAAACAUCGACAAAACAAGUGAAAGCUAUAAGAAAAAGGUAAAAAUUUAUUGUAUUAUUGUGAAAAUUGUGGAAUAAUUGUUAGUGACGUCACAGGGGUCUAAUGUGUGGUUAGGUCCGAGGCAAGGGCCUUUUUCUUUUAUUUUGGGCUUUUUCCCAGCAAACGGCCGGAGAAAGCGACGACGAGCCACCUCUAGCGAC
This is a long non-coding RNA of Armigeres subalbatus, 1402 nucleotides long. RefSeq lists it as uncharacterized. The record is from RefSeq and is a predicted model, not a curated record. The transcript has 3 exons. NCBI's taxonomy places the organism in Eukaryota, Metazoa, Arthropoda, Insecta, Diptera, Culicidae.